This 1377-nucleotide ribosomal RNA is filed under the name Vibrio parahaemolyticus. Its description in RNAcentral is "partial 23S ribosomal RNA". It matches the Rfam family "Bacterial large subunit ribosomal RNA", at positions 1572 to 2925 of the family's 2925-position model. Lineage: Bacteria; Pseudomonadati; Pseudomonadota; Gammaproteobacteria; Vibrionales; Vibrionaceae. The record is from RNAcentral.
AGCACCUACGGGUGUGAAGUCAUUGAUGCCAUGCUUCCAGGAAAAGCCUCUAAGCUUCAGAUUGUAAGGAAUCGUACCCCAAACCGACACAGGUGGUCGGGUAGAGAAUACCAAGGCGCUUGAGAGAACUCGGGUGAAGGAACUAGGCAAAAUGGUACCGUAACUUCGGGAGAAGGUACGCUCUCGACGGUGAAGUCCCUUGCGGAUGGAGCUAUUGAGAGUCGCAGAUACCAGGUGGCUGCAACUGUUUAUUAAAAACACAGCACUGUGCAAAAUCGUAAGAUGACGUAUACGGUGUGACGCCUGCCCGGUGCCGGAAGGUUAAUUGAUGGGGUUAGACUUCGGUCGAAGCUCUUGAUCGAAGCCCCGGUAAACGGCGGCCGUAACUAUAACGGUCCUAAGGUAGCGAAAUUCCUUGUCGGGUAAGUUCCGACCUGCACGAAUGGCGUAAUGAUGGCCACGCUGUCUCCACCCGAGACUCAGUGAAAUUGAAAUCGCUGUGAAGAUGCAGUGUACCCGCGGCUAGACGGAAAGACCCCGUGAACCUUUACUACAGCUUGGCACUGAACAUUGACCCUACAUGUGUAGGAUAGGUGGGAGGCUUUGAAGCACGUACGCCAGUAUGUGUGGAGCCGUCCUUGAAAUACCACCCUUGUAGUGUUGAUGUUCUAACGUCGACCCCUAAUCGGGGUUGCGGACAGUGCCUGGUGGGUAGUUUGACUGGGGCGGUCUCCUCCCAAAGAGUAACGGAGGAGCACGAAGGUGGGCUAAUCACGGUUGGACAUCGUGAGGUUAGUGCAAUGGCAUAAGCCCGCUUGACUGCGAGAAUGACAAUUCGAGCAGGUGCGAAAGCAGGUCAUAGUGAUCCGGUGGUUCUGAAUGGAAGGGCCAUCGCUCAACGGAUAAAAGGUACUCCGGGGAUAACAGGCUGAUACCGCCCAAGAGUUCAUAUCGACGGCGGUGUUUGGCACCUCGAUGUCGGCUCAUCACAUCCUGGGGCUGAAGUCGGUCCCAAGGGUAUGGCUGUUCGCCAUUUAAAGUGGUACGCGAGCUGGGUUUAGAACGUCGUGAGACAGUUCGGUCCCUAUCUGCCGUGGGCGUUGGAAGAUUGAAGGGGGCUGCUCCUAGUACGAGAGGACCGGAGUGGACGAACCUCUGGUGUUCGGGUUGUGUCGCCAGACGCAUUGCCCGGUAGCUAAGUUCGGAAUCGAUAACCGCUGAAAGCAUCUAAGCGGGAAGCGAGCCCUGAGAUGAGUCUUCCCUGAUACUUUAAGUAUCCUAAAGGGUUGUCGGAGACUACGACGUUGAUAGGUCAGGUGUGUAAGUGCUGUGAGGCAUUGAGCUAACUGAUACUAAUUGCCCGUGAGGCUUAACCAU